UGCAUUAAGAUGGAUGUUGAGAAGUGCAUCCAAGUAUCUAAUUUUGCAAGAGGAUAAAAGAAGAAUAAGGGAAUACAUGGAAAAAUAUUUUGUUUCACUGAAAAAUAUUUUAUCAGGGAUCUAAUUUUUCAUGCUAUAUGGCUAAACUUGUAUCAUGGCAUGCAUUUGAAGUAUCAUGGCAUGCAAUUGAAAUAUCGUAGCACAC
Molecule: long non-coding RNA, 205 nt
Filed under: Elaeis guineensis (African oil palm)
Lineage: Eukaryota; Viridiplantae; Streptophyta; Magnoliopsida; Arecales; Arecaceae
Description: long non-coding RNA (EGUI_LNC046126)
Source: RNAcentral